GGGAACUGGCUGGCACACAGUGGAUCGCUUUCUUAGCUGCUUCCUGGUAAUUCCUGGGAAAUAUGUCUUCACACCUAGAAGUCAGACCAUCCUGGGUUGCUGAGAUGCAGGUGCUCGCCCAGCAGCUUCACAGUGUCCAUCUUAGACUUUUUCUGGAAAAACAAACAAACAAACAAAAAACAGUGUUGACCAUAAACCUCCGUUGUAUUUGCUUUUAUUUGUAGCACACAUAUGUAUAGCACUUAAAACAUGAUGCUAGAAAUAAACAUCUGUAUUAGAAACUUCUAAA
Molecule: long non-coding RNA, 289 nt
Filed under: Mus pahari (shrew mouse)
Lineage: Eukaryota; Metazoa; Chordata; Mammalia; Rodentia; Muridae
Description: lncRNA (MGP_PahariEiJ_G0003743.1)
Source: RNAcentral